GUACAUCUGAGGCAAACAAGGAUCAGACGGUCAAUGAUGUUCCAGAACAAAGUAGCAUCACUAAAAAGUAAUUAAAUCCAACGGUUGGUAGAGUAGCGUUAAGUUAAAGCCACGCUGAACCUCAAUUCAAAUCCCCCACUCCCAUAUAGACCCCUGCUCAUUGCCGUCUUCACCGUCUGCCAUAUCUCUGCUCCCUUCAUCGCUCACUCUAGCGCGAUAUACUAAUGGCUUUGCCAAAUCAGCAGACUGUCGACUACCCAAGCUUCAAGCUUGUAAUCGUCGGUGAUGGAGGCACUGGGUGUGUUGCUAUAUGGACCACCUGGUACUGGAAAAACACUGGUGCCUAGAGCUGUGCGUCAUCAUACUGAUUGUACUUUCAUCAGGGUUUCAGGUUCAGAAAUAUAUUGGAGAAGGCUCUAGAAUGGUUAGAGAACUCUUUGUCAUGGCAAGGGACGAAAAGUUUAUCUCCUAGAAGAUAAUUAGCAAAAGGGAGACACUUCUUUGAGACCUCUUGCUGCUGCAAAAGUACUGAGGCCACAGCCAUGGCUGCUC
Molecule: long non-coding RNA, 552 nt
Organism: Mangifera indica (mango)
Lineage: Eukaryota; Viridiplantae; Streptophyta; Magnoliopsida; Sapindales; Anacardiaceae
Exons: 4
Source: RefSeq, a predicted model, not a curated record